UUUCCGUAGGUGAACCUGCGGAAGGAUCAUUAAAGAGAUCAUGCCCUCACGGGUAGACCUCCCACCCUUUGUUUACAAUACCUUUGUUGCUUUGGCGGGCCCGUUUGGCCCCGCGCUGAACAACCGGCCCCGGCUGGUCAGUGCCAGCCAGAGAACCGAAAACUCUGAAUUAAAUGUCGUCUGAGUACUAUGUAAUAGUUAAAACUUUCAACAACGGAUCUCUUGGUUCUG
RNAcentral lists this unclassified non-coding RNA (231 nucleotides) under plant metagenome. Its description in RNAcentral is "partial contains small subunit ribosomal RNA, internal transcribed spacer 1, and 5.8S ribosomal RNA". The record is from RNAcentral.